CGCCCAGUGCUCGGAGCGGAGUACGUGCAUGCCCAGUUCCAUUCUGUUGCCGCAGACUACGAGACAGCUCUAGGAUCAGAUUGGCUACAGGUUGCUGAGCAGCGCUGACGUUAGCCAGGGAGAUAGAAAUGGCAUAACCUGGGUAUCAUCUACUUACCUGUUGGCAGAACCAGACUUCUACUUAAAACAACAAUGAACUGGUUCUGAGACCUCAGGGAAUGACAGAAUAUAGGAUGGAAGGAACCAGGACAUCCACCUUGGACUGCUCUGUCUUUCAGUUUAUCAAAAUCAGGAGAAGAGUUCCUGCUGGAGACACACACAUUACUGGACUAAGUAAAGAGAAGUUCAAGAAAUGUCCAACUGAUGGGAUCAAGAGGAUGCAGAAGGGGUAGGUCAUGAAGAAGAGGAAGGAUCCUGGGUGCCUGGAGGAAGGGGUGUAGAGCUCCAAACAGAGCUCAUCUACCAAAGACUCGCUUAAAAUUCUGCCAAUUAAUUAGAGCUGCUCUAAUUUUGAGCUGCUUUUUGCUGUGACAGAAAAGAUACGAUGUGAAGUCAGGUCAGGGAAGGGUUGGACCUGAGGACAGAAUCAUUCUUUGAAAAACUCCUGGGUUUUUACUAACAUAAUCAGCACACUAACAUUUAAUACUUACUUAGUUAUUUAACCUCAUCUUUGUGUCAAAGACAUAAUUGAUCUUUCUCCUGUAGGAGGAACACAGAAUAACAGUCCCUGAUUUUGUAUGUCUCUGUUCUAUAAUGACAGGCUGUCAUUUUCUGUAAUUACCCAGAGAUGAGGAACAAUGUGUGUAGGCUGAAUGUAGUUGCUUAGUAACCACCUUUUAAAACUUUCUUAAAUGUAAUUGCUUUUUUUGCCAGAGAAACAUUGAUUUAGCUAAUUUGCAUUAAACCACUCUCUAAGCCAUUCAACUUAUUAAACACCCCUGUGCUUUUUAUUUCAACUUAUUUGUCUUUUAAAUUCUGUUAAGGUAAGCCACCUUUGUUAUGAUCACUAUUUGUCUUUAAACAAAGUGAGACUUCCAAAUGAUUAUCUGUACAUUGUCAUUUUCCCCAUUGUUUUUCUGUAUCUCUAUUCAUAUUGCUUUUUGAACUGAGGAUAGAAACUGGUAAAGAAUCAUGAAAAUCCCCAGUUCCACUCUGAAUAAUUCUUGAUUCUAAGCACCACCUAUCUGUUUUUCUUUAACUGUGUAUGAAAAUUUGCAUGGUUUGAAUGUUCUCUUGGCUUCUGUCCCUGGUCUCAUAUCUUGCUGUUAAUCAAAUGUCUAUAUUGCUAUUUAAGGAAAUAUGGAGUCUGGGAAGACAGCUAGCAUAUAACUUCAUUUAUUAUGGUAUGUUUACCAAUGUAUACUGACUUGAAGGAGGAAAUGAUUAAAAGCUAUA
Manis pentadactyla (Chinese pangolin) is the source of this 1395-nucleotide long non-coding RNA. RefSeq lists it as uncharacterized. The record is from RefSeq and is a predicted model, not a curated record. NCBI's taxonomy places the organism in Eukaryota, Metazoa, Chordata, Mammalia, Pholidota, Manidae. The transcript is spliced from 6 exons.